CCUUCCUGUCUCAACUGGCAAACGAUGAUUUCCGCAUCUAAAUUUACACAAAGUAUAUAAAAAAUUAAAAGGCAAAGUCGACAAAUACUUUUCAAAUUUAAAUUCAGUCUUGAAAAUUCUAUAACAUAAACCUUUUGAAGAUUGGUGUAAAUCUGCACACCACUCUUGUCGAAAUUGGUCUUUAAGCUUUUGCUCAAUACUUAAUUUUAUCCAUUUUUUGUUAAAAUAAUCUUGGCAAUGCCAUACAUUUGACAUGCCACAUUCAUCAAAAAUUUUCUUAAUAC
RNAcentral lists this long non-coding RNA (284 nucleotides) under Mytilus galloprovincialis (Mediterranean mussel). The record is from RNAcentral. Lineage: Eukaryota; Metazoa; Mollusca; Bivalvia; Mytilida; Mytilidae.